GACGAACGCUGGCGGCGUGCUUAACACAUGCAAGUCGAACGGUGAACCCCUUCGGGGGGGAUCAGUGGCGAACGGGUGAGUAACACGUGAGCAACCUGCCCCUGACUCUGGGAUAACCCCGGGAAACCGGAGCUAAUACCGGAUAUGACACGCUCGGGCAUCCGAUGCGUGUGGAAAGAUUUAUCGGUUGGGGAUGGGCUCGCGGCCUAUCAGCUUGUUGGUGGGGUAAUGGCCUACCAAGGCGACGACGGGUAGCCGGCCUGAGAGGGCGACCGGCCACACUGGGACUGAGACACGGCCCAGACUCCUACGGGAGGCAGCAGGUGGGGAAUAUUGCGCAAUGGGCGAAAGCCUGACGCAGCGACGCCGCGUGA
Molecule: ribosomal RNA, 374 nt
Filed under: uncultured bacterium
Lineage: Bacteria
Description: bacterial SSU rRNA
Rfam family: Bacterial small subunit ribosomal RNA
Source: RNAcentral